GACGAACCGUGCGAACGUUAUUCGGAAUCACUGGGCUUAAAGCGCGUGUAGGCGGGCCGCCGCGUCGGCUGCUGAAAUCCCCCGGCUCAACCGGGGAACGGGCACCGAUACGGGCGGCCUCGAGGGGGGUAGGGGGGUCUGGAACUUCCGGUGGAGCGGUGAAAUGCGUUGAGAUCGGAAGGAACGCCCGUGGCGAAAGCGAGGCCCUGGACCCUUACUGACGCUGAGACGCGAAAGCCAGGGGAGCGAACGG
This 253-nucleotide ribosomal RNA is filed under the name uncultured bacterium. RNAcentral describes it as "partial 16S ribosomal RNA". It matches the Rfam family "Bacterial small subunit ribosomal RNA", at positions 524 to 775 of the family's 1533-position model. The record is from RNAcentral.